AAUAUACUCCCUCCGUCCAGAAAUACUUGUCCUAAAAAUUAAUAUAAUUGAUGUAUCUAUAACUAAAAUAAGUCUAGAUUCAUUCAUUUUUAGGACAAUUAUUUCCGGACGGAGGGAGUAUAUA
Hordeum vulgare subsp. vulgare (domesticated barley) is the source of this 124-nucleotide non-coding RNA. Lineage: Eukaryota; Viridiplantae; Streptophyta; Magnoliopsida; Poales; Poaceae. The record is from Rfam.